CCAUUCUCCAAAUCUAUUUCUGUGAGUAUUUGGAAG
RNAcentral lists this small RNA (36 nucleotides) under Staphylococcus aureus. RNAcentral describes it as "HMPRFS0000_0887". The record is from RNAcentral. Lineage: Bacteria; Bacillati; Bacillota; Bacilli; Caryophanales; Staphylococcaceae.